UGACGAGCGGCGGACGGGUGAGUAAUGUCUGGGAAACUGCCUGAUGGAGGGGGAUAACUACUGGAAACGGUAGCUAAUACCGCAUAACGUCUACGGACCAAAGUGGGGGACCUUCGGGCCUCAUGCCAUCAGAUGUGCCCAGAUGGGAUUAGCUAGUAGGUGGGGUAAUGGCUCACCUAGGCGACGAUCCCUAGCUGGUCUGAGAGGAUGACCAGCCACACUGGAACUGAGACACGGUCCAGACUCCUACGGGAGGCAGCAGUGGGGAAUAUUGCACAAUGGGCGCAAGCCUGAUGCAGCCAUGCCGCGUGUGUGAAGAAGGCCUUCGGGUUGUAAAGCACUUUCAGCGAGGAGGAAGGGUUCAGUGUUAAUAGCACUGUGCAUUGACGUUACUCGCAGAAGAAGCACCGGCUAACUCCGUGCCAGCAGCCGCGGUAAUACGGAGGGUGCAAGCGUUAAUCGGAAUUACUGGGCGUAAAGCGCACGCAGGCGGUUUGUUAAGUCAGAUGUGAAAUCCCCGCGCUUAACGUGGGAACUGCAUUUGAAACUGGCAAGCUAGAGUCUUGUAGAGGGGGGUAGAAUUCCAGGUGUAGCGGUGAAAUGCGUAGAGAUCUGGAGGAAUACCGGUGGCGAAGGCGGCCCCCUGGACAAAGACUGACGCUCAGGUGCG
This 670-nucleotide ribosomal RNA is filed under the name uncultured bacterium. RNAcentral's name for it is "bacterial SSU rRNA". It matches the Rfam family "Bacterial small subunit ribosomal RNA", at positions 89 to 755 of the family's 1533-position model. The record is from RNAcentral.